AAGUCGUAACAAGGUUUCCGUAGGUGAACCUGCGGAAGGAUCAUUACAGUAUUGUGACCCACGCCAGCUCUCCACCGCAAGGUGGUAGAAGGUAUGGAGCCCACCCGUGAUUAUAUUACCUUUGUUGCUUUGGCAGGCCGCGGCCUUCGCUGCCGGCUUCGGCUGGCAUGUGCCUGCCAGAGGACCCCAACUCUUGAUUUUAGUGAUGUCUGAGUACUAUAUAAUAGUUAAAACUUUCAACAACGGAUCUCUUGGUUCUG
Molecule: unclassified non-coding RNA, 260 nt
Filed under: fungal sp.
Lineage: Eukaryota; Fungi
Description: partial contains small subunit ribosomal RNA, internal transcribed spacer 1, and 5.8S ribosomal RNA
Rfam family: Eukaryotic small subunit ribosomal RNA (bases 1-46)
Source: RNAcentral